CGGGAUCUGAGGUCUACCACAAACUGGCGUAAGCUAAUUGGUUCGCAAUUCAUCAUGUUGUGUUGGAAUUGACCAGAAUUAGCUAAACCAUUCAGAGCAGAAAAAAUAUGGGAAGACCAGCAAUCACAGGAGGAAGAAGAUAGAUGAAUGUCCGCCUGUAACACUUUUCUGACAGUAACGCUAUUGCAUUGGGUGAAAGAGUUAUACAGGCGAAUAGCUGCACGAAAC
RNAcentral lists this long non-coding RNA (228 nucleotides) under Dunaliella salina. RNAcentral describes it as "long non-coding RNA (DSAL_LNC000473)". Lineage: Eukaryota; Viridiplantae; Chlorophyta; Chlorophyceae; Chlamydomonadales; Dunaliellaceae. The record is from RNAcentral.